This 18-nucleotide microRNA is filed under the name Macrophomina phaseolina MS6. RNAcentral describes it as "miR-H10". The record is from RNAcentral. Lineage: Eukaryota; Fungi; Ascomycota; Dothideomycetes; Botryosphaeriales; Botryosphaeriaceae.
GGUUGCGGGGGCGGGCGG